UACAGAGGGGGCAAGCGUUAUUCGGAAUUAUUGGGCGUAAAGCGCUUGUAGGCGGCUUGUUAAGUUCCGUGUGAAAUCCCCAGGCUUAACCUGGGAAGUGCGCGGAAAACUGGCGAGCUUGAGUGCCGGAGAGGGUCGCGGGAAUUCCCGGUGUAGAGGUGAAAUUCGUAGAUAUCGGGAGGAACACCAGUGGCGAAGGCGGCGACCUGGACGGACACUGACGCUGAGACGCGAAAGCGUGGGGAGCAAACAGG
This 254-nucleotide ribosomal RNA is filed under the name uncultured bacterium. RNAcentral's name for it is "partial 16S ribosomal RNA". It matches the Rfam family "Bacterial small subunit ribosomal RNA", at positions 524 to 776 of the family's 1533-position model. The record is from RNAcentral.